UGGGGAAUCUUGCGCAAUGGGCGAAAGCCUGACGCAGCAACGCCGCGUGCGGGAUGAAGGCCUUCGGGUUGUAAACCGCUUUCAGCGGGGAAGAAAUUGACGGUACCUGCAGAAGAAGCCCCGGCCAACUACGUG
RNAcentral lists this ribosomal RNA (135 nucleotides) under uncultured bacterium. RNAcentral describes it as "partial 16S ribosomal RNA". It matches the Rfam family "Bacterial small subunit ribosomal RNA", at positions 355 to 507 of the family's 1533-position model. The record is from RNAcentral.